UCACAUGAUCACAACUGAGCCAAUGUUGUCUCUCUUUCUCUCUCUCUCUCGCUGCAGGAGUGUGGGCGAUUGUCUCCUAUGCUCGGAUGCUCCAUCUCAGGCCGUGGCAUUUGGCAGAAAUCAGUGAUUUUUCAGAACGUUGGAAGGUACCCACAGCGGCACUAGUAUAUUUCUUGUCACUUCAAAGCGCCUACGGCCAGUCCUUUGCUUUUCCAUCCAAGAGUGAGCUCAGGAAUGCUUUGCUUCAUUCCAGGUCAGGCUGCCUGCAGAUACAGACCCUUUCCUCGGCUGCCUCAUUGCCAGUUACAUUAACUACAGUCUGUGACAACAGUUUAUUAAUACUGUACUGUGGUCAAUAUCUAUGCGAGCGUAUACGGUGACCCCAUGCAGAAAAGUAUUCCAUGGAGCCUACAGACAGCAGUGACUCCGUUAGUGAUAGUGGAAGUCGUCCUACACAUUAACCCUCCUCUCCCAUGUCUCCCUCACACCAGUCAUGAAGGUUUUCAGAGCGGUCAAUGGCUGAACCCAGGAUCAAGGAGUACACUCCGCCUCUCGAUGGCAAAGGGUGCGGAUACGAGGAAUGACAUAGCAUCGUGGUCGUUGACGCCAUGCGUCACACUUGCCGAGAGAUGCUGCUUUCCCUCUUUCAUCGGGCGCCAGAAUCUCCCACCAGGAACGGUGUCACCCUUAGUGUUGGGAUGGGAGGAAUUUAAGUGAGAGCCCCUAGGUGUACUCAGAACGGUUGCUCUCCUCCAAGAAUGUGGUCAAACUGGAGUCUGUCUUCUUCCCCAAGACAACCUCGGGGAAUACUAAUGAGGUCGUAUCAAGUUUCUUUGUUUCGUUAACAGAUCUCCAGCCAUUUCAGCACGGUUUGGGCCUAAAAUAUAGAAAUCUGCUCUCAUGAUGACUGUCCAGUUAAUGACUUUUUGUCAUAACAGCUUUUAGAAUUUAUUUAUUUAUUAUUUAUUUUUAUUUAUGUUUAUUUUUACUUA
Molecule: long non-coding RNA, 992 nt
Organism: Herpailurus yagouaroundi (jaguarundi)
Lineage: Eukaryota; Metazoa; Chordata; Mammalia; Carnivora; Felidae
Exons: 3
Source: RefSeq, a predicted model, not a curated record